Molecule: ribosomal RNA, 527 nt
Filed under: uncultured bacterium
Lineage: Bacteria
Description: partial 16S ribosomal RNA
Rfam family: Bacterial small subunit ribosomal RNA
Source: RNAcentral
UGGGGAAUAUUGCACAAUGGGCGCAAGCCUGAUGCAGCCAUGCCGCGUGUGUGAAGAAGGCCUUCGGGUUGUAAAGCACUUUCAGCGAGGAGGAAGGUGGUGAGCUUAAUACGCUCAUCAAUUGACGUUACUCGCAGAAGAAGCACCGGCUAACUCCGUGCCAGCAGCCGCGGUAAUACGGAGGGUGCAAGCGUUAAUCGGAAUUACUGGGCGUAAAGCGCACGCAGGCGGUUUGUUAAGUCAGAUGUGAAAUCCCCGGGCUCAACCUGGGAACUGCAUUUGAAACUGGCAAGCUAGAGUCUCGUAGAGGGGGGUAGAAUUCCAGGUGUAGCGGUGAAAUGCGUAGAGAUCUGGAGGAAUACCGGUGGCGAAGGCGGCCCCCUGGACGAAGACUGACGCUCAGGUGCGAAAGCGUGGGGCAGCAAACAGGAUUAGAUACCCUGGUAGUCCACGCUGUAAACGAUGUCGAUUUGGAGGUUGUGCCCUUGAGGCGUGGCUUCCGGAGCUAACGCGUUAAAUCGACCGCC